CCUACGGGUGGCAGCAGUGAGGAAUAUUGGUCAAUGGGCGCGAGCCUGAACCAGCGAAGUCGCGUGAGGGAUGACUGCCCUACGGGUUGUAAACUUCUUUUAUAAAGGAAUAAAGUGAGGCACGUGUGCCUUUUUGUAUGUAUUUUAUGAAUAAGGAUCGGCUAACUCCGUGCCAGCAGCCGCGGUUAUCCGGAGGAGCCGAGCGUUAUCCGGAUUUAUUGGGUUGAAAGGGAGCGGAGAUGGGUUGUUAAGUCAGAUGUGAAAGUUUGGGGCUCAACCGUACAAUUGCAAUUGAUACUGGGAGUCUGGAGUACAGUAGAGGUAGGCGGAAUUCGUGGUGUAGCGGUGAAAUGCUUAGAUAUCACGAAGAACUCCGAUGGCGAAGGCAGCUUACUAAACUGCAACUGACAUUGAUGCUCGAAAGUGUGGGUAUCAAACAGGAUUAGAUACCCCUGUAGUC
Molecule: ribosomal RNA, 460 nt
Filed under: uncultured bacterium
Lineage: Bacteria
Description: partial 16S ribosomal RNA
Rfam family: Bacterial small subunit ribosomal RNA
Source: RNAcentral